This 253-nucleotide ribosomal RNA is filed under the name uncultured bacterium. RNAcentral's name for it is "partial 16S ribosomal RNA". It matches the Rfam family "Bacterial small subunit ribosomal RNA", at positions 524 to 776 of the family's 1533-position model. The record is from RNAcentral.
UACGGGGGGGGUAAGCGUUGUUCGGAAUUACUGGGCGUAAAGGGCUCGUAGGCGGCCAACUAAGUCAUACGUGAAAUCCCUCAGCUUAACUGGGGAACUGCGUGUGAUACUGGAUGGCUUGGAUUUGGGAGAGGGAUGCGGAAUUCCAGGUGUAGCGGUGAAAUGCGUAGAUAUCUGGAGGAACACCGGUGGCGAAGGCGGCAUCCUGGACCGACAUUGACGCUGAGGCGCGAAAGCCAGGGGAGCAAACGGG